GUGGGGAAUCUUGCGCAAUGGGCGAAAGCCUGACGCAGCCAUGCCGCGUGAAUGAUGAAGGUCUUAGGAUUGUAAAAUUCUUUCACCGGGGACGAUAAUGACGGUACCCGGAGAAGAAGCUCCGGCUAACUUCGUGCCAGCAGCCGCGGUAAUACGAAGGGGGCUAGCGUUGCUCGGAAUUACUGGGCGUAAAGGGCGCGUAGGCGGACAGCUUAGUCAGAGGUGAAAGCCCAGGGCUCAACCUUGGAAUUGCCUUUGAUACUGGCUGUCUUGAGUUUGGGAGAGGUGAGUGGAACUCCGAGUGUAGAGGUGAAAUUCGUAGAUAUUCGGAAGAACACCAGUGGCGAAGGCGACUCACUGGCCCAAUACUGACGCUGAGGCGCGAAAGCGUGUGGAGCAAACAGGAUUAGAUACCCCAGUAGCC
Molecule: ribosomal RNA, 424 nt
Filed under: uncultured bacterium
Lineage: Bacteria
Description: partial 16S ribosomal RNA
Rfam family: Bacterial small subunit ribosomal RNA
Source: RNAcentral